Molecule: long non-coding RNA, 873 nt
Organism: Chenopodium quinoa (quinoa)
Lineage: Eukaryota; Viridiplantae; Streptophyta; Magnoliopsida; Caryophyllales; Amaranthaceae
Exons: 3
Source: RefSeq, a predicted model, not a curated record
UUGACGCAUUUUGUAUACCUAAAGUUUAUUAUGCAUCAUUUAUAAUGCAAAUUUAAAGACGUUAGGGCUUGAUUUUUGUUGGUUUUUGUAACGUAGGUACUAACCGAUGAACUCGUAACUUCAUCGGAUGAGAAGACACCCCUUUUAAAUCUUUGUGGUAGAAAUACAGAAGAAAGCAAUCAAUCAAGCAGUGGCUAUGCAGAGGUGGUGUUUUUUGCACUCGUUGAAGGUCUAAUUGAUGAUAAACUCAUUUCUGAUAGUGAGCAACUGAAGAAGUUUUUGAAAGAUCUUGGCGAAAAAAAAAAUGGGAAUUUGGUCAAAGGUGCAUGCUACAUGUUCAAGUGUUGCCGAGAAUUAACUUUGUUCUCAUUAGGCAGUGUUAUGCACAGCUUGUUGGUGGCUUGACGUACAUACAUCUGCAAUAAUCAUAUAAGAUUAAUUAGCAGAUGAUAUUAAAGGACUAGCUCAAGUCAGCGUAAUAUAAAAGUUACGGGCUCAAAUCUUAUCUACCGUUCCUUUCAAAUAGAAUAUUGAAACAUGCAUGGGGUAUAGGGGGACCGAAAUAAACUUAAUUGUAUAAUUAAUACUCCGUAUAAGAAUAUUUUUGAUACUACAAAUUACUCAUCAUAUAUAUAUAUACUCGAUUGAUUAGCUACUAAAAGUAGUGCAACUUUUUUUUAUUUUUUUUAUUCUUAAUUUUAUUACCCAAUUUCAAAGUUUAAAAUAUGAUUGGUCUAACUUCUACGAAAAUAUAAAUAUGAUAUACUCCCGAGUCCCAUUAAUUGCCUCAAUAGUUGACAAAAGAUAUAUGUGUAAAAUCACCAAACGCUACCUUCUUUCGAGAAACGAAGAGAGUGGUAAUAAUGAAGAAUA